Molecule: ribosomal RNA, 494 nt
Filed under: uncultured bacterium
Lineage: Bacteria
Description: partial 16S ribosomal RNA
Rfam family: Bacterial small subunit ribosomal RNA
Source: RNAcentral
GACGAACGCUGGCGGCGUGCUUAACACAUGCAAGUCGAACGGUGAAGCGCCUUCCUUUUUGGUGGGUGCGGAUGAGUGGCGAACGGGUGAGCAACACGUGAGUAACCUGCCCCCAUCUUCUGGAUAACCGCAAGAAAGUGUUGCUAAUACGGGAUAUUCUGGGUCUGUCGCUUGAUGGGUCUGGGAAAGAUAUUGUUUCGGUGGGGGAUGGGCGCGCGGCCUAUCAGCUUGUUGGUGGGGUGAUGGCCUACCAAGGCGGUGAUGUGUAGCCGGCCUGAGAGGGUGGACGGUCCCGCUGCGACUGCGAGACGGGCAGGACUCCGACUGGAGGCAGUAGUGGGGAAUAUGGCACAGUGGGCGAAAGCCUGAUGCAGCGCCGCCGCGUGGAUGAUGGAGGCCUUCGGGUUGUAAACCUCUUUCACGAGUGAAGCAGGCCUGCCUCGUUUGUGAGUGGGUUGACGGUAGCUGGACAAGAAGCGACGGCUAACUACGUG